This 450-nucleotide ribosomal RNA is filed under the name uncultured bacterium. RNAcentral's name for it is "partial 16S ribosomal RNA". It matches the Rfam family "Bacterial small subunit ribosomal RNA", at positions 354 to 796 of the family's 1533-position model. The record is from RNAcentral.
GUGGGGAAUAUUGGACAAUGGGCGAAAGCCUGAUCCAGCCAUGCCGCGUGUGUGAAGAAGGUCUUCGGAUUGUAAAGCACUUUAAGUUGGGAGGAAGGGCAGUAAGUUAAUACCUUGCUGUUUUGACGUUACCGACAGAAUAAGCACCGGCUAACUUCGUGCCAGCAGCCGCGGUAAUACGAAGGGUGCAAGCGUUAAUCGGAAUUACUGGGCGUAAAGCGCGCGUAGGUGGUUUUGUAAGUUGGAGGUGAAAUCCCCGGGCUCAACCUGGGAACUGCCUCCAAAACUGCAUGACUAGAGUACGGUAGGGGGUAGUGGAAUUUCCUGUGUAGCGGUGAAAUGCGUAGAUAUAGGAAGGAACACCAGUGGCGAAGGCGACUACCUGGACUGAUACUGACACUGAGGUGCGAAAGCGUGGGGAGCAAACAGGAUUAGAAACCCCAGUAGUCC